AGCACAUCCUCUGCCGCCACACCCUCUAGGGGAGGUUUGAUGACACCGCCUCGGAAGGGCCAUUAACAGCCACGGUGGCGAUUACAACAGAGCUCAGCAGUCCGCAGACCUAAGUGAGGCCUGGCUCCCAGGACAGAACGAAGGGAAAGAGAGUUCUGCCUACAAGAUCCAAGAUCCAAAGUUCCCAGUCUGGAUUUCAGGCUGAAAAACAGCCAAGAGGCGAAGAGAGGAUGUCACUGAACGGCCGGCGGUUUCCUCACGAAACAAGGAGGCUCAGCCAGGCUGUUCCCGGCACUGGCAAGGAGCCGGGCACCCGUUCUAAUUAACGAGCCAAUCUUCACAACCACCCCACGGAGAGAGGGGCCAUUGUGAUCCCCUAAUUACAGGAGAGGAAACCUAGGCAAGGGCGGUAACGUCACAGAACCAGCAAGUCUCCCGUCCACAGGGAAUCGGGAGUCAGGAGACCUGGACUCCGUUGGGCUGUGCCACCCACCGAGGGACGCGGGAGGCGCGAUCAGGUGGUUCCUACGGCCACUUCCAGCCCAGAGCGCCGGCCACUCUGCGUCCAGC
This is a long non-coding RNA of Myotis myotis, 570 nucleotides long. RefSeq lists it as uncharacterized. The record is from RefSeq and is a predicted model, not a curated record. NCBI's taxonomy places the organism in Eukaryota, Metazoa, Chordata, Mammalia, Chiroptera, Vespertilionidae. The transcript is spliced from 2 exons.